This 519-nucleotide ribosomal RNA is filed under the name uncultured eukaryote. RNAcentral describes it as "SSU rRNA". It matches the Rfam family "Eukaryotic small subunit ribosomal RNA", at positions 1161 to 1699 of the family's 1831-position model. The record is from RNAcentral.
AGGGCACCACCAGGAGUGGAGCCUGCGGCUUAAUUUGACUCAACACGGGGAAACUUACCCGGCCUGGACACUGGAAGGAUUGACAGAUUGAGAGCUCUUUCUUGAUUCAGUGGGUGGUGGUGCAUGGCCGUUCUUAGUUGGUGGAGCGAUUUGUCUGGUUAAUUCCGAUAACGAACGAGACUCUAGCCUAUUAAAUAGGCUCUCGGCUUUUAAACGCCGGGAGGACUUCUUAGAGGGACAGGUGGCGGUUCAGCCGCGCGAAAGAGAGCAAUAACAGGUCUGUGAUGCCCUUUGUUGUCCGGGGCCGCACGCGCGCUACACUGAAGAGAUCAGCGUGCUUUACGUUCCUGCUCCGACCGGAGUGGGGAACCCAGUGAACCUUCUUCGUGAUUGGGAUAGAAGAUUGUAAUUAUUCUUCUUGAACGAGGAAUUCCCAGUAAAUGCGAGUCAUAAGCUCGCGUUGAUUACGUCCCUGCCCUUUGUACACACCGCCCGUCGCUACUACCGAUUGAACGAUUU